UAAUUACCAGUAACUGGAUGAAAGCAUCCCUGUUGUUUCCAUCAUACCGGAAAUUACCCGAGAGACAUAUGAUGUAACACGUAGAAAGUUCCGGACUAUCGUUAGCUAGUACUAAAGGCAGAGACACGGUUUACUAAAGGUCGACAUUUCACCAAGGUGUCACGUCUGUUUUUAUCAGCGAGCAAAUUUACACAUAUACUAAUAAUUUAAAAAUGCCGAGAGGAAGUAGAAGCCGGACAUCCAGGAUGGCCCCUCCAGCCAGCCGGGCGCCACCAUCACCACCCCCUAUGGCCAGGGCUGCACCUCCUCCCUCGUAUGCCCCGGCUCCAAUGCAUGCUCCUCCAUCUGCUGUGGGUGCUCCAGCUGCAGCACCCAGGCAGCCAGGUAUGUUUGCUCAGAUGGCGACUACAGCCGCUGGAGUGGCAGUGGGCUCUGCAGUAGGACACACAAUCGGCCAUGCCAUGACUGGAGGCUUCGGUGGUGGACACUCAGAGCCUGCCAAGCCAGACGUCACAUACCAGGUAAAUAAACUUUUGUUUAGCCGUACCAUGCGAGCCGUACCAGGCUCAGCCCAUGUACCAGCAGCAGCCACAGUCCAUGUACCAGCAGGAGGCGCCUCAGCAGCAGCAGGCCUGCUCCUAUGAGCUUAAACAGUUCAUCGAGUGUGCCCAAAACCAGAGCGACUAUAAACUCUGUGAGGGCUUCAGUGAGGUGCUGAAACAGUGCAAGUCCUCAUAUGGUAUGUUAUGAGACGACAAAAACCUGGAGAGUGAAGAGCACACAAACUGAAUUAAGCAGCCAUGCUGGAUGAAUACUAAGGGUGUUAAUUCACAAGGGAUCAAUAAACAUGCUUUAUUUUGACAGUUGAUUAUCAUCAGACAGCGUCAUUGUGUUCAUUCUCAGGAAAGUGCUGCUGCAGAGUUUGUAAUAAUAGUAAAUAAUGUUUAUAUAUUUUGCUGCAUGUUGAUUUCAGUUGUCAGUGUUUUUCAUUAGCUUUAGUGCUUUUAAUUUAAAUAGAUGAACAACAUUUGUAGAUCAUGAUAACUUGUAACACCACCAGUUUCCACCUUCUGGAUUAUGGAUGUCUGCAGUUUCUUUGGGUUUCAAAAUAAUAAAGCACCUGAAUCUUAAAAACAA
This is an RNA transcript of Sander lucioperca (pikeperch), 1137 nucleotides long. It is a transcript of the gene named coiled-coil-helix-coiled-coil-helix domain containing 2, with no coding region annotated. NCBI's taxonomy places the organism in Eukaryota, Metazoa, Chordata, Actinopteri, Perciformes, Percidae. The record is from RefSeq and is a predicted model, not a curated record. The transcript is spliced from 5 exons.